AACGAACGCUGGCGGCAGGCCUAACACAUGCAAGUCGAGCGCCCUUUCGGGGGAGCGGCGGACGGGUGAGUAACGCGUGGGAAUAUGCCCUUCUCUACGGAAUAGCCUCGGGAAACUGAGAGUAAUACCGUAUACGCCCUUUGGGGGAAAGAUUUAUCGGGGAAGGAUUAGCCCGCGUUGGAUUAGGUAGUUGGUGGGGUAAUGGCCUACCAAGCCGACGAUCCAUAGCUGGUCUGAGAGGAUGAUCAGCCACACUGGGACUGAGACACGGCCCAGACUCCUACGGGAGGCAGCAGUGGGGAAUCUUAGACAAUGGGGGCAACCCUGAUCUAGCCAUGCCGCGUGAGUGAUGAAGGCCUUAGGGUUGUAAAGCUCUUUCAGCUGGGAAGAUAAUGACGGUACCAGCAGAAGAAGCCCCGGCUAACUCCGUG
RNAcentral lists this ribosomal RNA (431 nucleotides) under uncultured bacterium. Its description in RNAcentral is "partial 16S ribosomal RNA". It matches the Rfam family "Bacterial small subunit ribosomal RNA", at positions 29 to 507 of the family's 1533-position model. The record is from RNAcentral.